UUCGUGCAUGGCAAGAUUCGAUCGGAUUAUAUAUAAUUCAGAUGAGCAAUGUUAACAGUAUAGCAUUCCGUAAUUUCCGACGACCAAGGUUCAAUACUCUGUUAUUGGAUUAACACCAUACUCUGUUUUUUUCCUACGGUUACCGUCAACAAAAUUACAAAAAAUCAAGAUACACUGAUCGGAACUGUAGCUUUGUAAAUACUCUCCAGCGACCUCGUCCGUCUCUUCUUCCUUCGCCGGCUAAGCAUCUCCUCUUCCUCUUCCUCCUCCUCCUCUUCUUCCGCCGCCACCUUGUUGUUGAUGCUGCUGCCAGCAGUGCUACUCUCAUCGCGAUCGCCGCCCGUACUAUUGCUCAGCUCCACCAGCUGCUCGGCCGCCUGGAUCUCCGAUUCUGAGAACAACAGCACAGCCGGAGGAGGAGGAGAUCGGCUCCGUAUUGUUUUGGUCUGUGGAUCUUCCAAGAUUAAUCCGUUGAUCGCCAUGGCUGCGCGCGGAUAGCUUUGAUUUUUUUUUUCCUCGGGGUUUGCUAAUUUUUUAUUAAUUUAUUCUUUGGUGAG
This 557-nucleotide long non-coding RNA is filed under the name Linum usitatissimum (flax). RNAcentral describes it as "long non-coding RNA (LUSI_LNC007547)". Lineage: Eukaryota; Viridiplantae; Streptophyta; Magnoliopsida; Malpighiales; Linaceae. The record is from RNAcentral.